UCGAAGGCAUGAACGUUCAAAGGGAGAGUACUUUCCCCUACCAAAAUUGUAGGGGGAAGUACUCUCCCUUCGAACGUUCAUGCCUUCGA
This 89-nucleotide microRNA precursor is filed under the name Phlebotomus papatasi. RNAcentral's name for it is "microRNA mir-515". Lineage: Eukaryota; Metazoa; Arthropoda; Insecta; Diptera; Psychodidae. The record is from RNAcentral.